Molecule: ribosomal RNA, 385 nt
Filed under: Aeromonas salmonicida subsp. salmonicida
Lineage: Bacteria; Pseudomonadati; Pseudomonadota; Gammaproteobacteria; Aeromonadales; Aeromonadaceae
Description: bacterial SSU rRNA
Rfam family: Bacterial small subunit ribosomal RNA
Source: RNAcentral
AAAUUGAAGAGUUUGAUCAUGGCUCAGAUUGAACGCUGGCGGCAGGCCUAACACAUGCAAGUCGAGCGGCAGCGGGAAAGUAGCUUUCUACUUUUGCCGGCGAGCGGCGGACGGGUGAGUAAUGCCUGGGGAUCUGCCCAGUCGAGGGGGAUAACAGUUGGAAACGACUGCUAAUACCGCAUACGCCCUACGGGGGAAAGGAGGGGACCUUCGGGCCUUUCGCGAUUGGAUGAACCCAGGUGGGAUUAGCUAGUUGGUGGGGUAAUGGCUCACCAAGGCGACGAUCCCUAGCUGGUCUGAGAGGAUGAUCAGCCACACUGGAACUGAGACACGGUCCAGACUCCUACGGGAGGCAGCAGUGGGGAAUAUUGCACAAUGGGGGAAA